This 482-nucleotide ribosomal RNA is filed under the name uncultured bacterium. RNAcentral describes it as "partial 16S ribosomal RNA". It matches the Rfam family "Bacterial small subunit ribosomal RNA", at positions 28 to 523 of the family's 1533-position model. The record is from RNAcentral.
AGUGAACGUUGGCGGCGUGGAUUAGGCAUGCAAGUCGAGCGAGAACCGUAGCAAUACGGGGACAGCGGCGAAAGGGACAGUAAUGUGUAGGUACCUACCCCGAGGUCUGGGAUAGCUGCGGGAAACUGCAGGUAAUACCGGAUAAUGUCUUCGGACUAAAGGUGUGAUUCCACCUUGCGAGGGGCCUGCAUCCUAUUAGCUGGUUGGCGGGGUAACGGCCCACCAAGGCGACGAUGGGUAGCGGGUGUGAGAGCACGACCCGCGACAUUGGGGCGGAGACACUGGCCAGCCACCUACGGGUGGCUUCGGUCGAGGAUCUUCGGGAAUGGGAGCAAGCCUGAGCGAGCGACGCCGCGUGCGGGAUGAAGGCCUUCGGGUUGUAAACCGCUGUCGUAGGGGAGGAAAUGCAGGUGGGUUCUCCCUCCUGUUUGACCUAUCCUAGGAGGAAGUACGGGCUAAGUUCGUGCCAGCCGCCGCGGUAA